AAUUAGCCCCGAUUGAAGAAGCUACCGCGCAGCUCGAAAAGCGGGAAAAUCG
RNAcentral lists this small RNA (52 nucleotides) under Flavobacterium sp. 102. RNAcentral describes it as "Flavo-1 RNA". The record is from RNAcentral. Lineage: Bacteria; Pseudomonadati; Bacteroidota; Flavobacteriia; Flavobacteriales; Flavobacteriaceae.